UUGAAUUAUCUAUGUACAAGUUUAAUUGGAAUUUGGUUAUGUUUGAAAAUUAUGUUUAAAAUUUGCGAAUGAAUUUUGUUAUGAGCAAUGUAAAUCAUGUUAUAAUGAGAAGGAAAUUGGAGGAAAUGAUUUAUAAAUGAUAUAGAUGACAUAAACUCGGUUAUGGAAUGUUGAAAUGGAAUUUAAGAAUUCCUCUUGAAUUAUGUUGAAUUAUAUUUAAUGAUGUUGAGUUGAAUCAUGUUGCUUAUGUUGAAUUGUAGUGAUUAUGUGAGAUGGUAUUAACUAUGUUGACUUUGAUUUUUGUGACUUAAAAUGUAGAGUUUUCCAAAAUGGGUUAAUCCCAAAUUAUUUUGCUAAAUACUUGUGAGCUUGCUUAGUUGUAAAAUCAAGAGAAUGAUUUAAUUUUUGGAAAAAUGUGGAAGAUGUCCAUACAAUUCCUUCCUAUCUUGAAAUCGAAGUGAUUGAUUAAAAAUUCCAUAUUGUGUUUGCAAGAAUGGUAAUCUUCUAUUUCUAUAUAUAGAUAUAUUGAGAUGGAGGAAAUUGUGGUAUAAUGGAUGGAUAAUGGUAGGCUUGUGAAGAAUAAUGAAGGAAGGAAAAAGAACUAAUGACUAAGUUAUAUAUGUGUACAGGGCACACUUCAGGAGGGCCAAGCACUCAGUUGUAGCACUGUAUGUUUCCAGUAUGUUACAAGUUCAAGUAUGCUGAGGUCACCAAUCAGGUGGUCAGUCCUAGCCAAGACGCCCGCUUUCUUUUGUCAACCUUCGUAUGUCCAGGCACUGUAUAAGCCAUUUAUUUUAUCAAGUUGUUAAGAUGUUGACUUGAUUAUGGGUGUCCCUCUAAGGUUGUUGUAUAUCCUUUCAUGUUUGUUUUUUUUUGUA
This is a non-coding RNA of Camellia sinensis, 878 nucleotides long. NCBI's taxonomy places the organism in Eukaryota, Viridiplantae, Streptophyta, Magnoliopsida, Ericales, Theaceae. The record is from RefSeq and is a predicted model, not a curated record.